RNAcentral lists this long non-coding RNA (299 nucleotides) under Olea europaea (common olive). RNAcentral describes it as "long non-coding RNA (OEUR_LNC012645)". The record is from RNAcentral. Lineage: Eukaryota; Viridiplantae; Streptophyta; Magnoliopsida; Lamiales; Oleaceae.
AAGGAGAUUGCAUAUUCAAGAUUUUGGAGAAGAUAAAGGAAUCAUAUUCCAAAGCAAAGAAUAAGCACAUUAGUCUUGAGAGGUAUAUUCAGCACCUCAAAAUUAAGAAAAAAGUGAGAAUUAAGAUUGGACCAAAGAAUAAGACACUGGGAUGUUUAGUAUAUCCAAAGCUUUAAGAAAGUAGUUUAUGUAAGUUGCAGGCCUAAGGUACAAAUACAUACCAUUUGCCUAGUAGAAAAGACUGCCUCUUUCUAUCUUGCCCAACCAGCACAACCAGACAAAUAAAAAGCUUCUAUUCU